This 71-nucleotide transfer RNA is filed under the name Candidatus Rehaiarchaeum fermentans. Its description in RNAcentral is "tRNA-Met". It matches the Rfam family "tRNA". Rfam says of the family: Transfer RNA (tRNA) molecules are approximately 80 nucleotides in length. Lineage: Archaea; Nanobdellati; Candidatus Parvarchaeota. The record is from RNAcentral.
GCCGGGAUAGUACAACGGUAGUACGCUGUGCUCAUGACACAGAGAUGGGGGUCCGAUUCCCUCUCCCGGCA